This is a long non-coding RNA of Cebus imitator (Panamanian white-faced capuchin), 598 nucleotides long. RefSeq lists it as uncharacterized. The record is from RefSeq and is a predicted model, not a curated record. The transcript is spliced from 2 exons. NCBI's taxonomy places the organism in Eukaryota, Metazoa, Chordata, Mammalia, Primates, Cebidae.
CGGACUGGUAAGAGCGCGCGCCGACACAGCCCUCUCUCAUGCGCCCAAUCAGGAGUAUGCGGUGGGAGGUGUCAUGGAUUAAUUACCAGAUACCUUUAGUCGAUGUUGAGCCGGGAUUUUGAGAUUUCCGGUGGAGCAGCACCUGUUGAUUUGUGCUGGUACCUGGAAGAGAUGUAACACCUGAUCAUGGGACAUCAAGUGACUGUGUCAAUCAAACUGCGCAUCAUGAAUUGGUGUUAUUUGACUCACCAAAUUGUACAACUGAAUGAGCACAGGAACAGUGCACUACAUAUGGGACUGGAACCAUGAAUGAGCAGGUGACUAGACUCCUAUAGUACCUGCCUCUAUUCCUUCAACAAUUCUCCCUCAAUGCACAUAAACUGUCAUCAUAAGGAGUUCCCUCUGACCAGUUAAUGGAAGAGAAAAAAGUAUGGAUCUUAUGGAUAUCCUAACACAUCUCUGGCCAUUGGACCCCUAGAAACCUGUGGCAAGUCCUGGAAGUUUUUCAAGGUUCAUCUUGCACCUUUCUUACCAAAACAUGUAGAAUGCUGCCUACUUCUGCUCAUCAGUUUUAUUUAAUAUAAUUUCAUUACUAUAA